UUCCGGUUGAUCCCGCCGGACCCUACUGCUAUCGGGGUGGGACUAAGACAUGCGAGUUGAGCGUCUCUAAGCCAUGGUAGAGACGCGGCGUACGGCUCAGUAACACGUGGCUAACCUACCCUUAGGACGGGGACAACCCCGGGAAACUGGGGCUAAUACCCGAUAGGCGAGGAGGCCUGGAAUGGUUCUUAGUCGAAAAGGCGUUGAAACCAUGCUUUUCGACGUUGCCUAAGGAUGGGGCCGCGCCCGAUCAGGUUGUUGGUGGGGUAACGGCUCACCAAGCCUAUAACCGGUACGGGCCGUGAGAGCGGGAGCCCGGAGAUGGGCACUGAGACAAGGGCCCAGGCCCUACGGGGCGCAGCAGUCGCGAAAACUCCGCAAUGCGCGAAAGCGUGACGGGGCUACCCCGAGUGCCGUCCGCUGAGGAUGGCUUUUCCCCGGUGUAAUGAGCCGGGGGAAUAAGGAGAGGGCAAGUCUGGUGUCAGCCGCCGCGGUAAUACCAGCUCUCCGAGUGGUAGGGAUGAUUAUUGGGCUUAAAGCGUCCGUAGCCGGCUUAGCAAGUCUCCUGUUAAAUUCAGCGACCUAAUCGUUGAGCCGCGGGAGAUACUACUAGGCUAGGAGGCGGGAGAGGCCGACGGUAUUCUCGGGGUAGGGGUGAAAUCCUAUAAUCCCGGGAGGACCACCAGUGGCGAAGGCUGUCGGCUAGAACGCGCUCGACGGUGAGGGACGAAAGCUGGGGGAGCGAACCGGAUUAGAUACCCGGGUAGUCCCAGCUGUAAACGAUGCGGGCUAGGUGUUGGGGUGGCUACGAGCCACUUCAGUGCCGCAGGGAAGCCAUUAAGCCCGCCGCCUGGGGAGUACGGCCGCAAGGCUGAAACUUAAAGGAAUUGGCGGGGGAGCACCACAAGGCGUGAAGCUUGCGGUUCAAUUGGAUUCAACGCCGGG
RNAcentral lists this ribosomal RNA (945 nucleotides) under uncultured archaeon. RNAcentral describes it as "bacterial SSU rRNA". It matches the Rfam family "Archaeal small subunit ribosomal RNA", at positions 1 to 922 of the family's 1478-position model. The record is from RNAcentral.